CCCUUAGAUGUCCUGGGCUGCACGCGCGCUACACUGAUGUGUCCAGUAAGCACCUAACCUAUUCCGAGAGGAGCGGGUAACCUUAGCAAAGCACAUCGUGAUGGGGAUAGAUUAUUGCAAUUAUUAGUCUUGAACGAGGAAUUCCUAGUAAGCACAAGUCAUCAGCUUGUGUUGAUUACGUCCCUGCCCUUUGUACACACCGCCCGUCGCUCCUACCGAUUGAAUGUUCCGGUGAGCUCUUCGGACUGCGCGGUCUGCAGUUUCUGCGUUCCGUGCGGAAAGUUGUACAAACCUUAACAUUUAGAGGAAGGAGAAGUCGUAACA
Molecule: ribosomal RNA, 324 nt
Filed under: uncultured eukaryote
Lineage: Eukaryota
Description: partial 18S ribosomal RNA
Rfam family: Eukaryotic small subunit ribosomal RNA
Source: RNAcentral